Long non-coding RNA from Callithrix jacchus (white-tufted-ear marmoset), 5679 nucleotides. RefSeq lists it as uncharacterized. Lineage: Eukaryota; Metazoa; Chordata; Mammalia; Primates; Cebidae. The record is from RefSeq and is a predicted model, not a curated record.
UUGGUAACCCCCCAAAGUCCGAAGCCAGGCGGAGGCCCGCAGGACGCCUCCCUUGGGAGUUGAGGCUGUUUCUUGCUGCUGGAGGCCUGGGCGGCCUGGGCUGGCGCCUGUUUUCGGAAGCGACCUCGAGAGAAUCGCCCUGGAGCUACGCAGAUCCCCACGGUUUUCAGGCCUCAGUUCUCCAGCCCCGGUGCAGGCCGGGAGCGUCCUCUCCGCGCGGUGCACCCCGGGAGGCGCUGAGGCGUUUGGGCGCCGGGCAGGGCGAUGAGAGUAGCCCCCAGAAACAAGCUCUCUGGAGAAAGCAGGUGGAAGGCCCUGUGUGAUCCUCUCCCCCGCCCUUCCUCAUCACUAAUCCAAAGUCAGUGUGAGUGGCCGCGGCUCCUAGCGCCUGGACCUCUAUCUCAGGCCAGGCCCUGAGUCAGGCUCGUCGCGUCGCCCAGGUGGUUGGCAUGUCAGUAGCUCUGGAUAGCACAGAAGUCUCAUCGUGCUGAAUGUGGCUGGGAUCUGUGGCCCAUUUUACAACUACAAGGCAUUGCUUCCUCCAAAAUGUUAAUAAGGACCUGGAAUUUAAACUUUGAAGGCUGCACUCUGGAAUGCCAUUUGAAAACCAAAGUGAGAGAGGUAAUGGAGAUAUACUAGCCAUAUAGAUUACCUUCCAUGAUCUGAUCCUCACAUACUGAUUUAAAUAUUUGACCUUUAUGCUUGGUUGGCAUUGUGUAUGUUCCACUAUUUGCUAUCUUGUUGUCCAGAUGGGCUUAUAUGAUUUCCUUACUAUCUUAAAAACUUUUUGAGGUUAGUGAGUAUGUCUUAUGGAACUUGAGAUUCUUAGUGCCUCAGAUAGUGACUGCAAUGAUGUCUGUUGAACAAAUGGAUAGAUGGAUGAAUGAAUGACUGUUGCAUUGGAUGGGAUCACAAUGCAAACAAUUUUCAUGGUCAGAUAGUAAUAAGAAUGUGGGAAGAGUCCAAUAAAAUACAGUACAGCAUGGGGGCCUAUGACGUAGCUUGCUUAUGCACAUUUAAAUUAAUUUUGGUUUAUAAAAGAACCGUGUUGAGACACUUAGGAAGGUUACUAGUUUGUGAUUAUUAUAUUAAGUCAUCUUUUGAAAGAAGAUCUCAACUUAGAGAUAAAAGACUAAGGUCUGCUAUACUAGCCUUGUGACCUUUCUAUGCCUAGUUUUUAUUUGGAAAACUAGGAAAAUAAUAACUUUUUUCUUUUGAGAUGGAGUCUCACUCUGUGGCCCAGGCUGGAGUGCAAUGGUACGACCUCCACUCACUGCAACCUCUGCCUUCCAGGUUCAAGCGAUUCUCCUGCCUCAGCCUCUUUAGUAGCUGGGAUUAAAGACAUGCACCACCAUGCUUUGUUUUCAGUAGAGAUGGGGUUUCACUGUGUUGGUCAGGCUGAGCUUGAACUCCUGACCUUGUGAUCUGUGGGACUUGGCCUCCCAAAUAAUAACUUUUUCAACUUUUUGGACUAAGUACUGGAGUCAUUGUGAUGAUCAAAAGAGAUAGUGUAUCAAGAUAUUUUUUUAAAUGUAGAGCAAGAACAAAUGUUAGCUAAGUUGUGAAUCUCUAGAGAAUGAAUUGUGGAGGACAUUUAAAAUGCAAAUAAACAGAAAGUCACAGUGAUAAGGGCUCAUUGGCAAUUAGGGACCAUAAUGAAGAUGUCUGGUAGUGGUUUCUAAAAUUCAGGGGAUUUGAUUUUGGAAGAUAGUGUGGAACCCAGGGAUUAGAACUGUUUGGGACUUUCUAAAGAUUUUGUGAGGUUCAAAAAGACUUUCUACGUAGAGAAAACACAUUGGAAAUUCCUGGUUGAAUGACAAAUGGGUCAGAGACUGCCUAAACUAGAAGUUUAUGUACCUGCAGAGGUUAACCAUGUAUCUCCCAAUGAAUUUGUGCUGAUUCUUGGUCUUCCCUUCACAGCCAACCCUUUAGGAACAGAAAGUUUAAAACCCUUCUGUGGGGAAGAGUUUUUUGAACUAUGGCACUAACAUUCUUCUUCCCCAAACAGGGGGAGUACCUAGACAAUUUUUUUUUUUUUAAUGUAGAGAGAACAGACAACUUGAGUGAGAGCAGAGCAGUAGUAGACCCUUUAUUCUGAUAGCAAGAGAAUGGAAAAGAUGUCCUAUGGAUAUUCAUUAAAUGCCUAUUUAGUGAUUACCUGUUAUGUGCCAAGCACUGUGGCAGGCACUUGGGAAGCACUCUGAUAAACAGAACAGACCAGUCCUUUCCUUCCUCAUCCCUUGAUGCUUAUAGGCAGAUGGCUGGCUGAGAUAGACGUUAAGCAACUUACUCUAAAACUAGUUUUUCCCACAGAUGGAAAUAGAUGAUAAUAUGAAAAUACUUGUGAACCAAUUAUCUGAUGUAGAAUAUCAUUUUCCAUCUUUUCUCUCCAAAAUAAUUUUAUACAUUCUUUAAAAAGAAUUUUAAAAUGUUUCUUUAUUUUUCAAGGUUACUGCUACAUCUGAUUAUUUGAAAAUAUAUUAUAGAAUUUAAUUCAACCCUGAAAAUAGGCAUAGGUAAAUUCUCAAAAAUCUCAAAGUAAAUAAAUAAAAAGCAAAAGAAAUAAGAACAAGAUAUAAUGAUAAAUAUUUUAACUAUAUAUCUUCUUUUAAACCUUUUCAUUCAGAUAAAUUUUAGUGAUUUCUUAUUAGGUAAAUCCCUGUUAAAACAUAUUUCAUCUUACUUAUCUCAUAUGAUUUCAUUUGUUGUAGGUGCUCAAAAAAUAUUUGUUCCAUAAUUAAAUAAAUUCAUGGUCAGAUCCUGAAGGUAAAAAUAUAGUGGUGGAACAAAGUGAUUAUACUUUCCUCCUAUAGGCUGUGACCCAAUAGAGCUGAUGACUGUAAUUUUAAUUGAAAAAAACAACAUAAAAAACCUGAUAGUCUACAGGAUAGGAAGAAUUUAAAACAAAAACACCUUAAAGGCAAAUAAACACUAUUUAGAAGUUGCUAGUUUCAGAGUCAGUUGCACAUCUCAGGAUGCUUAAUCUUAAGUAUUUAUUACCUAUCUCACUUUCAGUGGAGAUAUAUUAUUUACAAAACAAUUUUACAAAGAAGUUUUCUACCUCUGUCAAUUAUUUCCAGCUACUAGCUAAUCUGGUAGUUUAGAUCAGAGAAAAAUAAACUUGACUUGUUUGUCAUGAUGUAGUUGAAGCUUUCAUAUAUGGGAAUGUAUUUUGUAUUACUAAGUAACUAUCAAAUCACAAAUUCCAUCACUUCAUACUCUUUCAAAAUAUUUUUGGGCAAUUGGGUUUUUAUUUCAGGGUGUCUGAUAAAGGACUUAGGCUUUCUUUCUUGCUAAACUUUAUACUGUCUUCUAAAUAUUUUUGAGAAUUUGCUUUCUCAAAAAGAGUAUUGCCUAUUUUUCUCUGUGUUGAGUUACCAUUCACUUGUUUUGCUUAUAAUAUUUUCCAGUUCGUGGAUUUACAUGUGACAAAUACUCCUCAUAGAUUACUUUUUUGUGGCUCUUAAGAAAUAAAAUAUUUAAAAAUAAUUUUGACAUAUUAAUAAAUGUUGACAUUGUAAAGAGAGAAAAAAGGAAAUUUGUGUUUUAAGGUGAAGCACAGUUAUCUCUUAUUUCUGUGAAGUUUCUUAAAAUGUUUAUCUACCCUAAAAAGAACCAACAGGAAAUUUAAAACUCUAACUUGAAAGCUUUUGAAAAUUCAGGGGAUAACUAUAUACUGCUGCGAUUUGCCAGCCAGAAAUUCAGAACUCGUCAUGUUUCAGCUCUGCUGGUUAAGACUUUCUAAGUCAUAUAUUCCAUUCAUCUAGACAUUUUUCACUAUUUUAAUUGUUGAUGGGAGGUGCAUUUAAGAAAGUAUACAAUACAUGUCUUAUAUCUUCAGACGUUUGCUUUUCUUUGGCUUAGACUCUGGUUUUGAAAAGUCUUCAAUGGAAAGGUUAGGUGGGACAGUCUGUUGUUCUCCUUUAAAAUGAUGAAUGAGCUCUCUGGAGCAUACAGUUAGAGUGGAGAUCUUUCCUGGACUCUGAUAUCCUCUUCUGAUUAGGAUCUCUGAUGGUCAGUUGUUGUGGCAGCAGAUAAUUGACCAAAGGCAUAUGUAUUGGUGAUUCUAGAGACUUUCCAGACUUUUAGAAAUGGAAUCUCAAUGUAUUGCUCGGGCUUGACUUGAACUCCUGGGCGCAAAUGAUCCUCCUGAAUAGCUAUGGCUACAGGUGCAUGCAUUACCUCACUGGCUUUGGUGUUUUUUUAAGUUAAGUUGUUACAGCCAGUACAUGCAAUUUUAAACAUGUUCCUGCUGAUCCUUUUAGGGUAGAUCUCUAGUAUGUUUUUUCCCCUCUAAGUAAGUUUAAAAUUUAAGUAUAAGAAAAUGCUUUCUUUCAAAUCAAGCAAUUUACAAGUAAAUAUUGUAUUUGAUAUAUUUAAAAUAUUCACAGUUAACUAAUUCAUAUCUUUAAAGUUUUAUUAAAAUGUAAUGGGUCAAGUGUCAUUAUUAUUUAUCUUUCAGUCGGAUAAUUAGAUCUACUGUUAGAUUUCCCCUAGAUAUUAUAAUUUAAUCAGAAUUUUAUCUUUGGAAAUGAUUUUUAGAGAUCUGAGGGAAAGGAUAAAGUAAAACACCACACCCUUAAUAUUCAAGUCUAACUUAUUUUGGCUGCUUUGCUAUUGUAUCCAUUAUUAAAGAGGCUUUUUCUUUUCUUUUGUGGACACCAAGCCAAAAAUAUUAGCAAGAUUUAAAUUACAAGUAAAACAUCUUCAAUUUUAGGGCUUUUUUUUUCCUCCUCUUUUCCUUGGAAAAAAAUUUUUCAAUAAUACUGUUGAUAAAAUAUCUUAAAUUAUCAAAGAGAAAUGCUAAGUAGAGUAUAAUUUUAGAUUCACUAAAAUUAUAGUGAAAAUAACCAAAAUUUCAUUUAUAUUACAUGAAUGAAAGGUUGAUAGUUAUUCCAUUUGGAUAUUAAAAAAAAACUGUGUUGUGGAAAUUGUUAUUACGGUGUUUUGAGAAAAUUGGUUAGGAAUGUAUCCUGAAUUUAUCUAUGAGUUUAUAAAAGUAAUUGAUGACGAUUAGAGCAUAAAGAUAUAUUUUAAUAGUUUGUUUCCUGUACAUCUUUAUUUUUGACAAAAGAUUUUUAUUUAUUUUUUUGAGAUGGAGUUUCGCUCUUGUUACCCAGGCUGGCGUGCAAUGGCGCGAUCUCGGCUCACCGCAACCUCCGCCUCCUGGGUUCAAGCAAUUCUCCUGCCUCAGCCUCCCUAGUAGCUGGGACUACAGGCGCGCACCACCAUGCCUAGCUAAUUUUUGUAUUUUUAGUAGAGACAGGGUUUCACCAUGUUGACCAGGAUGGUCUCGAUCUCUUGACCUUGUGAUCUACCCGCCUCGGCCUCCCAAAGUGCUGGGAUUAUAGGCGUGAGCCAUCGUGCCCAGUCGACAAAAGAUUUUUAAAAUGAGUCUUUACACAGGGUAAAAUAGCAAAGAGAGUCAGUGAUUUUGUUUUUUACCAACAUCUUAAUUCUCCAUGUCAAACUAUUAUGAGAGAGGAAAAUACAGUAUUUAGGUAGUAAAGAUUUACUUCUGUUACUGAGAUGACAAAGUAAAAUAUUUUCUGGGGACAACAAAAUAACCACUUUCUAAAAAUUGUUAUUUUGGGGGAUAUUUUCAUUGUGAAAGUGAAAGUGUAAAAAACAAUAAAAAUAAAUAGAGAUUGUUUUCAAUAUUAUGAGUUUAUUGAAUUU